GGAAGUAAAAGUCGUAACAAGGUCUCCGUAGGUGAACAUGCGGAAGGAUCAUUA
RNAcentral lists this ribosomal RNA (54 nucleotides) under Bjerkandera sp. B33/3. RNAcentral describes it as "partial 18S small subunit ribosomal RNA". It matches the Rfam family "Eukaryotic small subunit ribosomal RNA", at positions 1778 to 1831 of the family's 1831-position model. The record is from RNAcentral. RNAcentral also lists the same sequence under 1 other name. Lineage: Eukaryota; Fungi; Basidiomycota; Agaricomycetes; Polyporales; Phanerochaetaceae.